ACGGAGGGUGCAAGCGUUAAUCGGAAUUACUGGGCGUAAAGGGUGUGUAGGUUGUUUGAUAAGUUAUCUGUAAAAUCCCCGGGCUCAACCUGGGCAGGGCACAUAAGACUGUUGAACUCGAGUAUAGUAGAGGGUAGUGGAAUUUCCGGUGUAGCGGUGAAAUGCGUAGAGAUCGGAAGGAACACCAGAGGCGUAGGCGGCUCCCUAGCCUAGUACUGACACUGAGGCACGAAAGCGUGGGGAGCAAACAG
RNAcentral lists this ribosomal RNA (251 nucleotides) under uncultured prokaryote. Its description in RNAcentral is "partial 16S rRNA". It matches the Rfam family "Bacterial small subunit ribosomal RNA", at positions 525 to 775 of the family's 1533-position model. The record is from RNAcentral.